This 587-nucleotide long non-coding RNA is filed under the name Bos taurus (domestic cattle). RNAcentral describes it as "long non-coding RNA NONBTAT014957". The record is from RNAcentral. Lineage: Eukaryota; Metazoa; Chordata; Mammalia; Artiodactyla; Bovidae.
UCAUUUUAGCACUGUGGAAAUGAAUGCUAAAAUCAAUAGCUCAAAAUCAAUAGCUUUUCACAUUCUUAGUAAUCAGUAUUGCUUAUUUUUAUUUUGAUAUUUUGCCAUCGUUUAAAAUUCAACAUGCAAAAAAUCAAACUCAGCAUAUUAUUCUGUUACCCAGUUCUUUGGUAUCUGUCAGAAACAAGAGCAUUCUCUCUAUUAUCCUGGGUCAGAAUCUGCUUCCUUUUUUCACUCCCUAUUUCUGAUUAUUCCCAAGUAUUUUGAUCUUUCCUUUGGGAGAUUUCUUUGUAUCUGUCUCUUCUUGCUGGAAUAUUAGGCAUUCUCAACUCUGCUUCCUGUGAGUCCUGGCCAGAUGUCCGUUCCAUGAGUAUCCCAGUCCCCAAUAUUGAAUGGUUUCCUAUCUACUUGUCUUCACAUCCUUUGUUCGUUUGUUUUUCCUCUAUUAGAAUAUAAACACCUCUAAUGCAAGCACAGUGGCUUAUACUCCUGCCACCACUGACAACCGAUUUCAGUUUUGUGUCUGGGGUAGACACCCUAUGAAUUUAUCAAUUCACUUGUCAGGAAACAGUCCCCACAUUUAUAUG